Molecule: transfer RNA, 84 nt
Filed under: Diplodia seriata
Lineage: Eukaryota; Fungi; Ascomycota; Dothideomycetes; Botryosphaeriales; Botryosphaeriaceae
Also listed under: 1 other name
Description: tRNA-Gln
Rfam family: tRNA
About the family: Transfer RNA (tRNA) molecules are approximately 80 nucleotides in length. Their secondary structure includes four short double-helical elements and three loops (D, anti-codon, and T loops). Further hydrogen bonds mediate the characteristic L-shaped molecular structure. tRNAs have two regions of fundamental functional importance: the anti-codon, which is responsible for specific mRNA codon recognition, and the 3' end, to which the tRNAs corresponding amino acid is attached (by aminoacyl-tRNA synthetases). tRNAs cope with the degeneracy of the genetic code in two manners: having more than one tRNA (with a specific anti-codon) for a particular amino acid; and 'wobble' base-pairing, i.e. permitting non-standard base-pairing at the 3rd anti-codon position.
Source: RNAcentral
GGUUCUAUAGUGUAGUGGCUAGCACUCAGGAUUCUGAUUUAACAGACCAUUCCUGCAACCCCGGUUCGAUCCCGGGUAGGACCU